Molecule: ribosomal RNA, 466 nt
Filed under: uncultured bacterium
Lineage: Bacteria
Description: bacterial SSU rRNA
Rfam family: Bacterial small subunit ribosomal RNA
Source: RNAcentral
CCUACGGGUGGCUGCAGUGGGGAAUAUUGGACAAUGGGGGGAACCCUGAUCCAGCCAUGCCGCGUGUGUGAAGAAGGCCUUUUGGUUGUAAAGCACUUUAAGCGAGGAGGAGGCUCCCUAGAUUAAUACUCUAGGUGAGUGGACGUUACUCGCAGAAUAAGCACCGGCUAACUCUGUGCCAGCAGCCGCGGUAAUACAGAGGGUGCAAGCGUUAAUCGGAUUUACUGGGCGUAAAGCGUGCGUAGGUGGCCAAUUAAGUCAAAUGUGAAAUCCCCGAGCUUAACUUGGGAAUUGCAUUCGAUACUGGUUGGCUAGAGUAUGGGAGAGGAUGGUAGAAUUCCAGGUGUAGCGGUGAAAUGCGUAGAGAUCUGGAGGAAUACCGAUGGCGAAGGCAGCCAUCUGGCCUAAUACUGACACUGAGGUACGAAAGCAUGGGGAGCAAACAGGAUUAGAUACCCGUGUAGUC